Rattus norvegicus (Norway rat) is the source of this 102-nucleotide small nucleolar RNA. Ensembl annotates it as small nucleolar RNA SNORA17. The record is from Ensembl. NCBI's taxonomy places the organism in Eukaryota, Metazoa, Chordata, Mammalia, Rodentia, Muridae.
CCUAUCCUUAGAGGCAUCACAGGUGUGGCUGCUGUGUCACAUGUAUCAGUAGGUGGCAGGGAAGGGGGCAGACCAUGACCCAAGAUGACCCUGCCCAGCACC